RNAcentral lists this ribosomal RNA (446 nucleotides) under uncultured bacterium. Its description in RNAcentral is "partial 16S ribosomal RNA". It matches the Rfam family "Bacterial small subunit ribosomal RNA", at positions 338 to 795 of the family's 1533-position model. The record is from RNAcentral.
CCUACGAGAGGCAGCAGUCGAGAAUCAUUCACAAUGGGGGAAACCCUGAUGGUGCGACGCCGCGUGGGGGAAUGAAGGUCUUCGGAUUGUAAACCCCUGCCAUGUGGGAGCAAAUUAAAAAGAUAGUACCACAAGAGGAAGAGACGGAUAACUCUGUGCCAGCAGCCGCGGUAAUACAGAGGUCUCAAGCGUUGUUCGGAAUCACUGGGCGUAAAGCGUGCGUAGGCUGUUUCGUAAGGCAUGAGUGAAAGGGGCGGGCUCAACCCGCGGACGGCACAUGAUACUGCGAGACUAGAGUAAUGGAGGGGCAACCGGAAGUCUGGGUGUAGCAGUGAAAUGCGUAGAUAUCGAGAGGAACACUCGUGGCGAAGGCGGGUUCCUGGACAUUAACUGACGCUGAGGCACGAAGGCCAGGGGAGCGAAAGGGAUUAGAUACCCCAGUAGUC